GAGCCUCUGCGGUGUUCGAGACGAGCCUUGUGCGUUGACCCGACAAUUCCGUUUAUGGAUGCCACACGGGUUUGGCCGCGUGUAUAUCCGUGAGUUCCCGCGGGAAAUCGACGGCUCACACAACCCAAACCCUCGGCAACCCCCUGAACUCUAUGGGUUCAGAACCUCAACGCUCGAACGGCACAGGCGGAGGCUUC
Molecule: non-coding RNA, 197 nt
Filed under: Schlesneria paludicola
Lineage: Bacteria; Pseudomonadati; Planctomycetota; Planctomycetia; Planctomycetales; Planctomycetaceae
Description: 6S RNA
Rfam family: 6S / SsrS RNA
About the family: E. coli 6S RNA was the first non coding RNA to be sequenced, but its function was unknown until recently. It consists of 184 nucleotides that fold into an extended hairpin structure with a large single-stranded internal bulge. The 6S RNA specifically associates with RNA polymerase holoenzyme containing the sigma70 specificity factor.
Source: RNAcentral